GUGUUAUAUGGAAGAGAAAGAAGGUUAGCACUCCCCUUGACAAGACUGGAAGAGGCCUUCUGGCCUGACAACACACAUACAGUUGAGGCAUUGCCACCUACUUCCCUGGCACCUAACCAUUUUUUUUU
Octodon degus (degu) is the source of this 128-nucleotide small nuclear RNA. Lineage: Eukaryota; Metazoa; Chordata; Mammalia; Rodentia; Octodontidae. The record is from Ensembl.